Molecule: transfer RNA, 77 nt
Filed under: Candidatus Coatesiibacteriota bacterium
Lineage: Bacteria; Candidatus Coatesiibacteriota
Description: Candidatus Coatesbacteria bacterium tRNA-Met
Rfam family: tRNA
About the family: Transfer RNA (tRNA) molecules are approximately 80 nucleotides in length. Their secondary structure includes four short double-helical elements and three loops (D, anti-codon, and T loops).
Source: RNAcentral
CGCGGGGUGGAGCAGUGCGGUAGCUCGUUGGGCUCAUAACCCAAAGGUCGCAGGUUCGAGUCCUGCCCCCGCAACCA